CCACACACGACUUUUAUGCAUAACCCUGUGCAAUGGAUCUUGCACCCAACUAACCAAGGGUUACUGCCCAGGAUCCUCUGUAUCUGUGAGCCCAUACGUGGGAAAGGGGACCUAGUCUCUUUGUCUCCCAGGCACAGAAAGUCCGCCCUCACAUACUAAGGGGGUCUCCCACACCCAACGACAGGGAUCUUUAUCCCAGGAUCCUCCGCAACUGGGAGCCUGGGCGCAGGAAAAGGGACCCAGUCUCUUUGUCCC
Molecule: non-coding RNA, 255 nt
Organism: Pelobates cultripes (western spadefoot toad)
Lineage: Eukaryota; Metazoa; Chordata; Amphibia; Anura; Pelobatidae
Source: the annotation of a GenBank genome assembly